Molecule: small nuclear RNA, 99 nt
Organism: Loxodonta africana (African savanna elephant)
Lineage: Eukaryota; Metazoa; Chordata; Mammalia; Proboscidea; Elephantidae
Source: Ensembl
GUGAAACGGCACAUAUACUAAAACUGGAACCAUACAGAGAAGAUUAUCAUGGCCCUGAGCAAGCAUGACAAGCAAAUUCGUGAAGUGUUCCAGCGAUUA